AGAGUUUGAUCCUGGCUCAGGAUGAACGCUGGCGGCGUGCUUAACACAUGCAAGUCGAGCGAGAAGUUUUGAAAAGAUUCUUCGGAUGAAAUUUAAAAUGGAAAGCGGCGGACGGGUGAGUAACGCGUAGGCAACCUGCCCCAUACAAAGGGAUAGCAUUUGGAAACGAAUAUUAAUACCUUAUGAAACUUAACUAGUGCAUGCUAGGUAGGUCAAAGAUUUAUCGGUAUGGGAUGGGCCUGCGUCUGAUUAGCUAGUUGGUGAGGUAACGGCUCACCAAGGCGACGAUCAGUAGCCGACCUGAGAGGGUGAACGGCCACAUUGGAACUGAGACACGGUCCAAACUCCUACGGGAGGCAGCAGUGGGGAAUAUUGCACAAUGGGGGAAACCCUGAUGCAGCAACGCCGCGUGAACGAUGAAGGCCUUUGGGUCGUAAAGUUCUGUUCUAGGUGAUGAAAACUGACAGUAACCUAGGAGAAAGCCCG
RNAcentral lists this ribosomal RNA (486 nucleotides) under Eubacterium sp. oral clone BP1-69. RNAcentral's name for it is "bacterial SSU rRNA". It matches the Rfam family "Bacterial small subunit ribosomal RNA", at positions 8 to 494 of the family's 1533-position model. Lineage: Bacteria; Bacillati; Bacillota; Clostridia; Eubacteriales; Eubacteriaceae. The record is from RNAcentral.